CCUUGGGUUGUCUACACCAUGGCCUGGGCUCCUCUCCUGCUCACAUUUCUGGCUCACUGCACAGGGAUCACCUCUCAGAAUGUGGUGAUUCAAGAAUCGUCACUGUCCACGAAUCUUUGGGACACAGUUACACUCACCUGUGGCUCCAGCACUGGGGCUGUUACAAGCAAUAAUGCUGCCGGCUGGAUUCAACAGCAACCUGGCCAGAAACCAUGGGGUCUAAUGAGCAGUACCAAUAGGCAUCCAGAUGUCCCUGCCCGAUUCUCUGGCUCCCUGCUUGGAGGCAAGGCAGUCCUCACCAUCACUGGAACCAAGGAAGAGGACGAGGCUGAGUAUUUCUGUGUUCUGUGGUUCAGC
This is a non-coding RNA of Sorex araneus (European shrew), 357 nucleotides long. The record is from the annotation of a RefSeq genome assembly. Lineage: Eukaryota; Metazoa; Chordata; Mammalia; Eulipotyphla; Soricidae.